This 452-nucleotide unclassified non-coding RNA is filed under the name Hevea brasiliensis (rubber tree). The record is from RNAcentral. Lineage: Eukaryota; Viridiplantae; Streptophyta; Magnoliopsida; Malpighiales; Euphorbiaceae.
AAAAGUAAGUAGCAGUGUUUAUUUUAUAUCCAUAUAUAGAUGCACUUGCUGGCCUAGCAUUUGGAAUACAGCAUCUAUAGAAAUCAUUUUUGAAUUGCUGCAUAUUUGAUUAAGGAAACAAUUUUUUUCUGAAAGCAAUUGGUUGCAUUUCAUUCAAAUUAUAAUGAAAAUCUAGAUGCUGCCUUUUUUUCUUGAAAAUAUCAUUGCAUCUAUUCCCUCAAUGUUCAUAGACGCCAUGUUCCAUACAGACACUGUGGCCCUGUUCAUUUGUAGAAAAUUGGAGUAGUUUUCUAGAAAUAUUAUCUAAGAAAACUGAAAAACGGAGUUUCAUAUUCAUAUGUGCUUGGAGAACUAGAAAACAAUGAUUUUUCUAUAACCAAAGUUAUCCUAGAUCUUUUUCAUAACUAAAAUUAAAUAAUUAAUUUAAAAAAUAUUUAUUUACGAUGAUAAAA